GUGGGGAAUAUUGGACAAUGGGCGAAAGCCUGAUCCAGCCAUGCCGCGUGUGUGAAGAAGGUCUUCGGAUUGUAAAGCACUUUAAGUUGGGAGGAAGGGCAGUAAGUUAAUACCUUGCUGUUUUGACGUUACCGACAGAAUAAGCACCGGCUAACUUCGUGCCAGCAGCCGCGGUAAUACGAAGGGUGCAAGCGUUAAUCGGAAUUACUGGGCGUAAAGCGCGCGUAGGUGGUUUUGUAAGUUGGAGGUGAAAUCCCCGGGCUCAACCUGGGAACUGCCUCCAAAACUGCAUGACUAGAGUACGGUAGAGGGUAGUGGAAUUUCCUGUGUAGCGGUGAAAUGCGUAGAUAUAGGAAGGAACGCCAGUGGCGAAGGCGACUACCUGGACUGAUACUGACACUGAGGUGCGAAAGCGUGGGGAGCAAACAGGAUUAGAAACCCGGGUAGUCC
This 450-nucleotide ribosomal RNA is filed under the name uncultured bacterium. Its description in RNAcentral is "bacterial SSU rRNA". It matches the Rfam family "Bacterial small subunit ribosomal RNA", at positions 354 to 796 of the family's 1533-position model. The record is from RNAcentral.